Molecule: ribosomal RNA, 464 nt
Filed under: uncultured Pseudomonas sp.
Lineage: Bacteria; Pseudomonadati; Pseudomonadota; Gammaproteobacteria; Pseudomonadales; Pseudomonadaceae
Description: bacterial SSU rRNA
Rfam family: Bacterial small subunit ribosomal RNA
Source: RNAcentral
CUAACACAUGCAAGUCGAGCGGAUGACGGGAGCUUGCUCCUUGAUUCAGCGGCGGACGGGUGAGUAAUGCCUAGGAAUCUGCCUGGUAGUGGGGGACAACGUUUCGAAAGGAACGCUAAUACCGCAUACGUCCUACGGGAGAAAGCAGGGGACCUUCGGGCCUUGCGCUAUCAGAUGAGCCUAGGUCGGAUUAGCUAGUUGGUGGGGUAAUGGCUCACCAAGGCGACGAUCCGUAACUGGUCUGAGAGGAUGAUCAGUCACACUGGAACUGAGACACGGUCCAGACUCCUACGGGAGGCAGCAGUGGGGAAUAUUGGACAAUGGGCGAAAGCCUGAUCCAGCCAUGCCGCGUGUGUGAAGAAGGUCUUCGGAUUGUAAAGCACUUUAAGUUGGGAGGAAGGGCAGUAAGUUAAUACCUUGCUGUUUUGACGUUACCGACAGAAUAAGCACCGGCUAACUCUGUG